RNAcentral lists this ribosomal RNA (490 nucleotides) under uncultured bacterium. RNAcentral describes it as "bacterial SSU rRNA". It matches the Rfam family "Bacterial small subunit ribosomal RNA", at positions 32 to 498 of the family's 1533-position model. The record is from RNAcentral.
AAUCAACGCUGGCGGCGUGCCUCAGACAUGCAAGUCGAACGCGAAAGUUCCCUUCGGGGGACAAGUAGAGUGGCGCACGGGUGAGUAACACGUAGGUAAUCUACCUUUGGAUGGGGAAUAACCACCGGAAACAGUGGCUAAUACCGCAUAAUGCAGCGGCACCUAAUGGUGACAGUUGUUAAAGCGGGGGAUCGAAAGACCUCGCGUCUAAAGAGGAGCCUGCGGCGGAUUAGCUAGUUGGAAGGUAAUGGCUUACCAAGGCUACGAUCCGUAACCGGCCUGAGAGGGCGGUCGGUCACACUGACACUGACAUACGGGUCAGACUCCUACGGGAGGCAGCAGUCGGGAAUUUUGGGCAAUGGGCGAAAGCCUGACCCAGCAACGCCGCGUGAAGGAUGAAAUCCCUCGGGAUGUAAACUUCGCAAGAACGGGAAGAAUAAGCGAGAGUUAAUAUCUUUCGUGAUGACGGUACCGUUUGUAAGCUCCGGCU